This is a long non-coding RNA of Poecile atricapillus (Black-capped chickadee), 847 nucleotides long. RefSeq lists it as uncharacterized. The transcript is spliced from 3 exons. The record is from RefSeq and is a predicted model, not a curated record. Lineage: Eukaryota; Metazoa; Chordata; Aves; Passeriformes; Paridae.
ACAUGUAAGACAUCCACAGCAGCAUGGUGUGAAUCCCCUCCUUUCCAAGCCCACUGGCCACUUGGAGAUAGAGCCACCUGAGCUCAGACAGCAUCCCAGAAACACCAACACUGGCUCUUUCUCUUCUCAAAUAAAGCAGAUCAGGACACAGGACAGACUGCCUCUGGGAAACCUGUGGGUCCAAUCCCACCAGCUGCACCAGGGAAGGAAUACCUUUGCUGCCAUCACUGUGUUUUCCAGUGCCACUAUUUUAGAAACCCAAGCAUCUUGCUCCGGUAGCCACUGUCACAGGUGAAGAGCAAAAGAGGACAGAGAAUGACUGACUGACUGACUGCUUCAGAAAUCUGCCACAUUUGGAAGUUCCCAAGUCUCUCUUGCGCCCCGAUCCUGGCAAAUGACCUAGAUUCCUUGGAGAAGAAAUUUAAUCACUCACAGGGAGCUGAUGCUGAAAAGAUCACAAUAUUUGUUCUCUGAUCCAGUCACAAAGACGUCAUCAAGCUUACAGCACUCCAACUCCUCCUGAAUAAUCUGCACAGAAAUAUCAUCCAGGAAGCUCUGUUCAGAGAAUGGGAAUGUGCAAAUACUAUGCUGAGAUUUUCAGCUCCAUGGGCAUGUGACACUGUUUUAAUUUUAUGUUCAGUGUCCCAGCCAGAAAUCUCAUGUGGCAGCUGGUCUCCAGAAUUCUGUAAUAUGAUAAUUAAAUGUCUGCCUAUAAACAAGUGUUUGUAUUACAAGUGCUUUCCCAUGGUAUUUAUCUGUACAGCAGGAAUCUGAGGCAGGCACAGAGGCAGUAGCAGUUUUUCUUGGGUCUAAGCAAGUCUCCUAUCCCAAGAGAAAUAGAAUAGCA